GAUGAACGCUAGCGGCAGGCUUAAUACAUGCAAGUCGAGGGGCAGCAGGACUGUAGCAAUACAGUUGCUGGCGACCGGCAAACGGGUGCGGGACACGUACGCAACCUACCCAAAACUGGGGGAUAGCCCGGGGAAACCCGGAUUAAUACCUCGUAACCUUUUUAAGUGGCAUCACUUGAUAAGUAUAGCUCCGGCGGUUUUGGAUGGGCGUGCGCCUGAUUAGGUAGUUGGUGCGGGUAACGGCCCACCAAGCCUGCGAUCAGUAACUGGUGUGAGAGCACGACCAGUCACACGGGCACUGAGACACGGGCCCGACUCCUACGGGAGGCAGCAGUAAGGAAUAUUGGUCAAUGGACGCAAGUCUGAACCAGCCAUGCCGCGUGAAGGAUGAAGGUCCUCUGGAUUGUAAACUUCUUUUAUGGGGGACGAAACCCGGAUAUUCUUAUCCGAUUGACGGUACCUCAGGAAUAAGCACCGGCUAACUCCGUG
RNAcentral lists this ribosomal RNA (489 nucleotides) under uncultured bacterium. RNAcentral describes it as "partial 16S ribosomal RNA". It matches the Rfam family "Bacterial small subunit ribosomal RNA", at positions 28 to 507 of the family's 1533-position model. The record is from RNAcentral.